Molecule: ribosomal RNA, 254 nt
Filed under: uncultured bacterium
Lineage: Bacteria
Description: partial 16S ribosomal RNA
Rfam family: Bacterial small subunit ribosomal RNA
Source: RNAcentral
UACGUAGGGUGCGAGCGUUGUCCGGAAUUAUUGGGCGUAAAGAGCUUGUAGGCGGUUUGUCGCGUCUGCCGUGAAAAUUCGAGGCCGUCAACUCGAACUUGCGGUGGGUACGGGCAGACUAGAGUGUGGUAGGGGGAGACUGGAAUUCCUGGUGUAGCGGUGAAAUGCGCAGAUAUCAGGAGGAACACCAGUGCGAAGGCGGCUUCCUGGACACCAACUGACGCUGAGACGCGAAAGCGUGGGGAGCAAACAGG